AUUGAACGCUGGCGGCAGGCCUAACACAUGCAAGUCGAGCGCGAAAGUUCUUCGGAAUGAGUAAAGCGGCGGACGGGUGAGUAAUACGUGGGAAUCUGCCUGGUAGUGGGGGACAACGUUUCGAAAGGAACGCUAAUACCGCAUACGCCCUACGGGGGAAAGGGGGGGAUCUUCGGACCUCUCGCUAUCAGAUGAGCCCA
Molecule: ribosomal RNA, 200 nt
Filed under: uncultured bacterium
Lineage: Bacteria
Description: partial 16S ribosomal RNA
Rfam family: Bacterial small subunit ribosomal RNA
Source: RNAcentral